UCAUCAGGUGGGAUAAUCCGUACCUGUUCCUAGUUUUGGAGGGCAGGUAGAACAUGAUAAUUGGAGUUUGCACGAUCCAUGAUUAAUGUCUCUGUAUAAUCAGGACUUGCAAACCCUGAUUGUUUGUAUCUGAU
RNAcentral lists this small nucleolar RNA (134 nucleotides) under Saimiri boliviensis boliviensis (Bolivian squirrel monkey). Its description in RNAcentral is "U8 small nucleolar RNA (ENSSBOG00000002532.1)". It matches the Rfam family "U8 small nucleolar RNA". Rfam says of the family: U8 is a member of the C/D class of snoRNA which contain the C (UGAUGA) and D (CUGA) box motifs. U8 is the RNA component of a small complex (the U8 snoRNP) which is required for accumulation of mature large subunit ribosomal RNAs, 5.8S and 28S rRNAs. The record is from Rfam by way of RNAcentral. Lineage: Eukaryota; Metazoa; Chordata; Mammalia; Primates; Cebidae.